This 875-nucleotide ribosomal RNA is filed under the name Trichoderma erinaceum. RNAcentral describes it as "LSU rRNA". It matches the Rfam family "Eukaryotic large subunit ribosomal RNA", at positions 71 to 975 of the family's 3401-position model. The record is from RNAcentral. Lineage: Eukaryota; Fungi; Ascomycota; Sordariomycetes; Hypocreales; Hypocreaceae.
GGGAUUGCCCCAGUAACGGCGAGUGAAGCGGCAACAGCUCAAAUUUGAAAUCUGGCCCCUCGGGGUCCGAGUUGUAAUUUGUAGAGGAUGCUUUUGGUGAGGUGCCGCCCGAGUUCCCUGGAACGGGACGCCACAGAGGGUGAGAGCCCCGUCUGGCUGGCCGCCGAGCCUCUGUAAAGCUCCUUCGACGAGUCGAGUAGUUUGGGAAUGCUGCUCAAAAUGGGAGGUAUAUGUCUUCUAAAGCUAAAUAUUGGCCAGAGACCGAUAGCGCACAAGUAGAGUGAUCGAAAGAUGAAAAGCACCUUGAAAAGAGGGUUAAAUAGUACGUGAAAUUGUUGAAAGGGAAGCGCUUGUGACCAGACUUGGGCGCGGCGGAUCAUCCGGGGUUCUCUCCGGUGCACUUCGCCGCGUCUGGGCCAGCAUCAGUUCGUCGCGGGGGAAAAAGGCUUCGGGAACGUGGCUCCUCCGGGAGUGUUAUAGCCCGUUGCAUAAUACCCUGCGGUGGACUGAGGACCGCGCAUCUGCAAGGAUGCUGGCGUAAUGGUCACCAGCGACCCGUCUUGAAACACGGACCAAGGAGUCGUCUUCGUAUGCGAGUGUUCGGGUGUCAAACCCCUACGCGUAAUGAAAGUGAACGCAGGUGAGAGCUUCGGCGCAUCAUCGACCGAUCCUGAUGUUCUCGGAUGGAUUUGAGUAAGAGCAUACGGGGCCGGACCCGAAAGAAGGUGAACUAUGCCUGUAUAGGGUGAAGCCAGAGGAAACUCUGGUGGAGGCUCGCAGCGGUUCUGACGUGCAAAUCGAUCGUCAAAUAUGGGCAUGGGGGCGAAAGACUAAUCGAACCUUCUAGUAGCUGGUUUCCGCCGAAUUUCCCCUCA